RNAcentral lists this transfer RNA (66 nucleotides) under Mytilus californianus (California mussel). RNAcentral's name for it is "tRNA-Leu". Lineage: Eukaryota; Metazoa; Mollusca; Bivalvia; Mytilida; Mytilidae. The record is from RNAcentral.
UACAAUCUGGCAGAGUAAAUGCACUCAACUUAAGCUUGAGGUAUAAGUGUAUAAACUUGGUUGUGU